UGUCGAAGUUUUCCUCGUCAGUUAACUGCAGCCGGUUUUUCAAAAUUUCGGCAAUUAACUGUCGAGGGGCAU
Medicago truncatula (barrel medic) is the source of this 72-nucleotide microRNA precursor. It matches the Rfam family "MIR2629 microRNA precursor family". The record is from Rfam. NCBI's taxonomy places the organism in Eukaryota, Viridiplantae, Streptophyta, Magnoliopsida, Fabales, Fabaceae.